UAUAGAGCUUUGAUGGGAAGAGUACUAGAUUUUGGAUAUCUAAAGAGAGCAGGGUUGGUGAGAAACUGCGAUGGAAAAUUCUAUGAACAUGGCCCCGGAGCUUAUUGCCUGAAGCUAAGCAUAAGGCAAUACGGGUUUGUAGCCGUUAAAAUACUGGGUGAUAAAAGCUAAACUUUUGUAAAAACAAAGCUGAGUCACUUGAUAAGAUAUUUGUUGUGAGACAAAUAUGAAAUAGAGUGGUACCGCGUAUUUAAUGCCUCUAUA
Molecule: non-coding RNA, 264 nt
Filed under: Clostridium oryzae
Lineage: Bacteria; Bacillati; Bacillota; Clostridia; Eubacteriales; Clostridiaceae
Description: T-box sequence
Rfam family: T-box leader
About the family: Uncharged tRNA acts as the effector for transcription antitermination of genes in the T-box leader family.
Source: RNAcentral